Molecule: ribosomal RNA, 162 nt
Filed under: uncultured bacterium
Lineage: Bacteria
Description: partial 16S ribosomal RNA
Rfam family: Bacterial small subunit ribosomal RNA
Source: RNAcentral
AUUCGCUAGUAAUCGCGCAUCAGCCAUGGCGCGGUGAAUACGUUCCCGGGCCUUGUACACACCGCCCGUCAAGCCAUGGGAGCCGGGGGCGCCUGAAGUCCGGGACCGCGAGGACCGGCCUAAGGCGAAACUGGUGACUGGGCUAAGUCGUAACAAGGUAUC